AGAAUUUGAUCUUGGUUCGAGGACGAACGCUGGCGGCGUGCCUAAUACAUGCAAGUCGAGCGCAGGAAGCAGACUGAAUCCUUCGGGAGGACGGUCUGUGGAAUGAGCGGCGGAUGGGUGAGUAUCACGUGGGUAACCUGCCUGUAAGCUUGGGAUAACUCCGGGAAACCGGUGCUAAUACCAAAUAAUAUUUCUGUUCGCAUGAACGGAAAAUAAAAGGCGGCUUUUGCUGUCACUUACAGAUGGACCCGCGUCGCAUUAGCUAGUUGGUGGGGUAAAGGCUCACCAAAGCAACGAUGCGUAGCCGACCUGAGAGGGUGAUCGGCCACACUGGGACUGAGACACGGCCCAGACUCCUACGGGAGGCAGCAGUAGGGAAUCUUCCGCAAUGGACGAAAGUCUGACGGAAGCAACGCCGCGUGAGUGAUGAAGGUUUUCGGAUCGUAAAACUCUGUUGUUAGGGAAGAAUAAGUACUAACCGAAUAAGUUGGUACCCUGACGGUACCUAACCAGAAAGCCCCGGCUAACUACGUGCCAGCCGCCGC
RNAcentral lists this ribosomal RNA (545 nucleotides) under uncultured bacterium. Its description in RNAcentral is "bacterial SSU rRNA". It matches the Rfam family "Bacterial small subunit ribosomal RNA", at positions 8 to 518 of the family's 1533-position model. The record is from RNAcentral.